RNAcentral lists this ribosomal RNA (687 nucleotides) under uncultured Actinomycetes bacterium. RNAcentral describes it as "bacterial SSU rRNA". It matches the Rfam family "Bacterial small subunit ribosomal RNA", at positions 71 to 772 of the family's 1533-position model. Lineage: Bacteria; Bacillati; Actinomycetota; Actinomycetes. The record is from RNAcentral.
AAGGCCCUUUCGGGGGUACUCGAGCGGCGAACGGGUGAGUAACACGUGAGUAAUCUGCCCUGCGCUCUGGGAUAGCCACCGGAAACGGUGAUUAAUACCGGAUAGGACCACUUCACGCAUGUGAUGGUGGUGGAAAGUUUUUUCGGCGCAGGAUGUGCUCGCGGCCUAUCAGCUUGUUGGUGAGGUAACGGCUCACCAAGGCUUUGACGGGUAACCGGCCUGAGAGGGUGACCGGUCACACUGGGACUGAGACACGGCCCAGACUCCUACGGGAGGCAGCAGUGGGGAAUAUUGGACAAUGGGCGGAAGCCUGAUCCAGCAACGCCGCGUGAGGGAUGACGGCCUUCGGGUUGUAAACCUCUUUCAGUACCGACGAAGCGAAAGUGACGGUAGGUACAGAAGAAGGACCGGCCAACUACGUGCCAGCAGCCGCGGUAAUACGUAGGGUCCGAGCGUUGUCCGGAAUUAUUGGGCGUAAAGGGCUCGUAGGCGGUUUGUCGCGUCGGGAGUGAAAACACCGGGCUUAACUCGGUGCUUGCUUUCGAUACGAGCAGACUAGAGGUAUGCAGGGGAGAAUGGAAUUCCUGGUGUAGCGGUGAAAUGCGCAGAUAUCAGGAGGAACACCGGUGGCGAAGGCGGUUCUCUGGGCAUUACCUGACGCUGAGGAGCGAAAGUGUGGGGAGCGAA